Molecule: non-coding RNA, 2835 nt
Organism: Heterocephalus glaber (naked mole-rat)
Lineage: Eukaryota; Metazoa; Chordata; Mammalia; Rodentia; Bathyergidae
Source: RefSeq, a predicted model, not a curated record
GAGUGCUGGGAAGACAGGUCUGUGCCACCAUCCCCAGCUUAAAAUACCAUUUCUGAAGACACAGAGUAACUCAGAAAACUGGACUUUAUAUUUCUUUUACUUAUUAUAUCUACAUUUUGAUUACAAACAUGCAAGAAAAAAAAAGAAAGGAAGUAGGAGAGGAGGGAACCUGCUUAUACAAAAGAGUUGAAAGAGGAAUAGCUUGUUAAACUUCAGAUGGGCAGGGACUCUGAGAGUUUCUCGUCUCCCCUCAUGCUGCUAUAAUGUUAAUACCACAUAAAUGGGGAUGAACUAUCGUGUCACAAUGAAAAUAAAACAUCAGUUUGCCACUAUGCAGACAUAAAUAUCACUAAAACCAUCAUAAUAAAUAACAAAUCCCAGAAACAAUGGCUUCUGCUUGCUGUACCCCAAAAAGUAGGCUCCUGAGGAACAACUAGAAUCCCCCAGGCACGGUGGGGGUCUGGGGCCCAGGGACAUCACACAACAUGACACCCAGCACCCCUGUUCCCACCACACAGGGAGCAGGUGUCUGCCCCCACUGCACCCCUCCCUGGCAUGACCAUCAUGUACCCAACCCAAGGGUCCCCAUGCACAGCCCACACUGGAAAUGGAAAUGGACUUCAACCCAGUGACAGGGACAUGCAGAUCAGGGCAACACCCAGCCAGGAAGUGGCAAGGACUCCAAUGGAAAACAUCUAGAUCCCAAGCCCCACGCAGCCUUGAUGCACACAGGCCACCUUGUGCUGGGCUGACACACAAGGUUCUGGGUGGUGCUGUCACACCCAUCACAUCUGCGCCUUGUGCAUCUCAAAUUCUGUCUCAAAGCAAUCACAGGCGAGGCUGGGGUGGAGCUGCGGAGGCUUCGGCCAGGCAACUGCUAUGCUCUUCUGUUGCCAUGACAACAAGCCACAUCACAAUCUCAAACACACCCUUGAGCCACAGUCACUCUGUCAUAGCCCUCCAUUUCCAGGCACUGGCAGACGAUGAUAGAGGGACAAAGACUUGCAUGCUGGGAAUACACUGCUGAAUGUGUUCGUUCAUUCAAUGUUGGGACUUUGAGCGUUCAUCUCCCGGACGUGAACCAGGGAUCCUAACCAGAAACAUUUGCUGCAUGGCAAGGGGGAGGUGCUAGGUCUUCAUUUUCAGCAGCAAUUCCAAAUAACAGGCCUAAAUGAGCCAGGAUCAUGGAACUGAGCUGAGAGAGGCAAGGACUGUGGCAACAAAGAUGCCCUGCAGCCCCUGGGAACACAGCAGGUGAAUCUGUGCUGGUGCCCAGAGCAGCUGUAGGCCGCUCACACUGCAUCCUCAGGGUGGAGAGGUGGGGACAGCAGCUAGGGUGACUAGGGCAUGCUGAGGUGAGAGCCAAGUGGGGAGAGCCUUGAUCCAAUAGGAUGAAAACCUCACACAAGCCAGGUGCAGUGACACAUGCCUGGAAUUCCAAGUUGACAAGAGAAUCACGAGUUGAAGCCCAGCCUGGGCAGCUUAGGAAGCCCCUGUCUCAGAAUAAAAAAAUAAAAAGAUCUAGGGAUGUAGCUCAGUGUGAAGGCCUCAGGAGAGGAAGGAAGGAAGGAAGGGAGAAAGAAAGGGAAAGAAAACCUCACACAUAAACCUAGACUUCCCAGAGAAACCAGGAUGCCUGGGAGAAAGGUCUGUUUGAGCAAAUGAAUGGAAUUUUUGCUUAAUUGAACUUAAACUGAAUUUAACUUAAAAUUCAUAUGAACUAAAAUUAACCAUUAACCUUUUGAGGUGGGAGAUUGAACCCAGGACCUUCAUACCUGAGCUACACCCCCAGCCCUUCUUUUAUCUUUUAUUUUGAGACAAGGUCUGGCCAAGCUGCCCAGGCCAGGUGUAAACUUGCAAUCUUCCUGCCUCAGCCUCCCAGAGUGCUAGGAUUACAGCUCCAAGACAUCCUUGACACCAAAAGGCAUCCUAGACCAUCAGAGAGCAAGCCCAUCUCCCACUCAGCCCUGGCAGCCCCUGCUCUGCUGUCUGUUCUGGACCAGGCACGGAUCACAUGUGGCCUAUGUGUCUGGCAUCGCUUACUCUGUGCCCUGUCUGUGCCUUGCUCCUCCGGCAGCUGAGUGACCAUCCCGUUCCUCAAGGUCUGUUUGCACACCCGUUUCCAGCUCUGGGGGUUGUUUCCAGAAUGGAGCUGCUGGAUAACAUGGUAACCGAGUGCUGAACUUUCCAAGGAACAUCCAGACUCUUCUGCAUUGUGGCCAUACUAUUUCACACUUCCAACAGCCACCCAUGAGAACCCUGGUCUCUCCACAUCCACGCCAACGCUUGCUAUUUUCUGUUUCAUCCCUAACACAUCCAAUAUGAGUUGAGCUGUGUACAUGCUGACUUUGGGAGGAGAGCAAGACCCUGACUCAGGAACAUCCCACAGAGAACUGGACUCCAGGGCCUGGGAAGACAAGAGGUCCUGUCCCACAGAGCAUGCCUAAAAGAUGAGGCUGUCAUCUGCAGCCAGCAGAGCUCAGCAAGGGAGAAAGCAGAAAGAGGGGCAUGGGGUUUCCUCUCCUAAUGCCAUGCUCCAAGCAGUGUGUCUGGUGAACUACUUCAUAUGCGCCAAAGCCCAGUACAGUGCCACUUCCAGCAAAAAGCUUUCCCUCCCCCUCUCAUAUCCAAAGCAUCUAGUUCAAGUGAUUUGUGCCACAAGCACUUUACCCACUUGAUGGUUACCCCUGCCCAUCACAGAGAUGUACAGAUGUGCUGAAAAAACUGAGUAAAAAGAUGGGGGAUGCAGACUCAUGUCCUAGUGUUAUACAAUAUGUCAUGUCUCAGCUAUUCCCUCCAGUCAGCUACUUUCUCAGCUCAGCUCAGCUCUCACCA